RNAcentral lists this long non-coding RNA (1421 nucleotides) under Sus scrofa (pig). The record is from RNAcentral. Lineage: Eukaryota; Metazoa; Chordata; Mammalia; Artiodactyla; Suidae.
UCUCAUUUUUCCCGGGCUUUCGGUCGGCGUUUUCGUUUUCUCGCGGGUUUGGGCGCGCAUCGAACUCUGAAGGGUCGGGAAGGCCUGUCGUUGGAAUGUGGUUGAGUUCCAGGGAGUGUACAGGCUGGAGGAUGGGACAAGACCUAUCUCUGUAUCGAUCAAGCACGGCGUUGGUGUUCCAGCUCAUCACCAAUCCUAAGGAAUUCAAGUGCCUCCCAGGAUGAAUACAGGUUGUCUUGAUGGUGAUACAUUCAUCUGUCUUAAGAUCCCUGCUGAUCUGCUCAUGGUCAAACUCAUGGAAAGAGUUGAGAGUGGUGAGUACUUGUAACCUUGGUUAUAACUUGUCUCCAGUGCCAGUGAGGAGAGCAAGCAUCCUGUCUUAACCCCUGUCCUAGCCCCAGAGCCAGUAAUGGUGAACCCACUGGGGCUAACAGGGAGAGAGGAUGAAAACAUGUUCCGUAAGGAACUGUCUGAGGUACAGCAACUUCCAGUGGGUAGCAUUUGUUUAGCUUCCCUUGGCUUACAUAUUAGCUGGGAUCCUUUUGGUUUUUUAAGGUACUCUACUGAUUUCAUGAUCUUCUCAUUCAGGGGCACCUUGUUCCUGCAUCCUCAAAGGAGCAUCUUGUUCCAGAGUUAAAAGGUUCCAGAGUUAAAAGGUUAGUUGAUUAAUGUCACCAUAAUAUAUGCCACCAAGUAAGCAGUUUCUGUGAUGAAUCAAACUAGCUCACUAUGAACUAACAAUGAAAAGAUAUGAACACCUGAGAAACUGGAGAACAGAGCAGUGGGAUACUGUCUGCAAGGAACUUAAUAUCACUUACAGUUUUGUCCUUUCCUAGGUACCUGUACCAUUUAGCGGCUUGUUCACUCAAAGGUAAAGGUGAGUGAUUUAUAUGUUGGCGCAUACAGUGUACUGAGGGAGAAAAUGCCUUUUUAGGCAUCUACACAUGAUGACUUACAUGGAAUCUCGUUCGGCUGAUGAUUUGCUGUUGAGACUCGGAAAUCUGAAUUUUUUUUUCUUUUAAGAACUUAAGUGGGAACAAAUUUUAAUGUAGGAAGUAAGCAUUACUGACUCAUUCUUGUUUUGUUUUAGAUCCAUCUUUUCUGGAGCCUGAGGAUGAUUGGAGGUGAAAGGUGUAAGCCAUACUCUGCUCAACUCCAGUCUGAAACUAAGGUUAAAAGAACACGUACUUAACACACGGGUAAGUAAGUAUCCAUUCACGUACUUGUGUUAAAUAUCAGACUAACUAUAUAAAUACAAUGUUCUAAGUCCGUUUUAGUAAGAACCCUAAACUGUUCUUUUUCUCUGCAGGAAUCCAACUCUUGGAGGACAUCAGAAGUGGAAUUUUCUUAUACAACCUACCUAUUCAAAUUAGCAUAUAAUCUUUCUAGCCUUUCUAAAUAAAUAAAGGGAUUUUUUUGUA